This 352-nucleotide unclassified non-coding RNA is filed under the name Melitaea cinxia (Glanville fritillary). RNAcentral's name for it is "misc RNA ENSMCXG00005018006.1". Lineage: Eukaryota; Metazoa; Arthropoda; Insecta; Lepidoptera; Nymphalidae. The record is from RNAcentral.
UUGUGACAUGGGGUAUUCUAAUAAAACUUUGCACAUUACAGAAAUAUAGAUGUGUAAAGAUGUUACGAAGCGAUAAAGCGCAUGAUGAAGGGCAGCAUUGCGAAGGCGCAAGUGGGAGUAUAUGAAAAGUAGAUCAAUAAGAAGCUCGCAGUCAUGUGACUACGAAGGCCAGCCGCUCUAACAGGGAUUUCUGUGGCAUUCUAUUUGCGAAUUUCGAAUAUUAUAUCUUGAAUAAUAAUUAUUAAUAUUUCUAUAUUGAUCAAAAAACAUUGUUAAAAUUAUAUUUGUAAUAUGAAAAUACUCAAGUAAUUUCUAAUUAUUAUUUUCUAAUAAAAUAUAAUUCAUUUUUAUG